Molecule: long non-coding RNA, 5512 nt
Organism: Passer domesticus (house sparrow)
Lineage: Eukaryota; Metazoa; Chordata; Aves; Passeriformes; Passeridae
Exons: 7
Source: RefSeq, a predicted model, not a curated record
AGAGAACUGAAAAUGGGACAGGAAGUUGUGAGAAGACAUAAAGCAGCUCUCAUGAGCUGAAUAAGGGCAAGGACAUUGUCCCACCAGCACACAGAAAAGCAUGGCAACCCUCCCUGGAAGGAUUCCUGCUGGUGUGGGGUUGAUUGAAGAAGAGGAUUCACCUGAGCUGGGAGCGGCCAGAAGGCUCCUAGCCCCUUUACAAGUACAGGAGAGCUGGGAGAGCUGACAGAAACCAAGUAUGUCUGGUCACUUCUAUCACCAGAAACAUGAUUUGUCAUUUUUGCUGGGGUUACAAAGGUAACUAACGUGAUUCUGUAUCUUACAUGGAUGAAAAUAUGUUUUGAAGAUAUGCUUGAUAUCUCUCAUCUCCUUUCUAGCAUACAGAGUCAGCAUGAAUAUGAAGUCUUAGGUAAGCAACAAAUUUUUGAUGAAAAUUCUCCAUCUAGAAGGAGGGAAAAGCUGAAAAGUAUUCAAGAAAUGGUUAGUGACAUUUUGAUUUUGAAGCUCAGGAUAUCAGAGGACAUCAAUGAUCUUCAAAUACUGCAAUGAAGAACUUUGGGCACACAGAAUUCAUUAGUAUUUUCUCAAUGAAGCGUCCAAUUGAUUGCUCUUUAGUACUUUGCCAUUUUAAUUUUAAUGGUAUGCUUCCUGUCUGGUAACAUAUGCAAGAUUUACUGCGAGCUUUGAGCUUCAGGGCAUAGGUGUUCAAACUGGAAAUACCCAAAAUACAAAGCCCACACUUUGCUCCUCCCUGUCCUACAGUCAUCAAGUCCAUCUCUUUUUGAGGUGUCUGAAUUUCUAUGUUGCACACCUCUGACUGGAGCUUCAGCAGCACGCACUUUUUUGACAGUGCUUGGCAUGGUCCUGCAGCCCUCAGAAGGGGCACAGUGCAAUCAGCAAGCUGAGCACCUCUAACACGAAGCCAGCUGGAUCAGGCUGCUGCAAACAUGGAUUGGACUCCCUCAAAUUGCUCACUGGGACCAUGUGCCACUGCUCACAUUAAGCUGAGAGCACCCACCCUCAGCAGAUAUUAGACCAAAGCUCAGGUGGAUAUGUAUAUAUGAUAUGUCUUUUUAUUAAAAAGAAGCUAUAAAUGAUCUCUGGCAUAGAUACCAAGACAAGAACUCCGCUCCCAAAUGACUGCCCUGACCACUUGGACAAAGGUGAGCUCUGUCCUGCACUUACUGUAUCUGGCUUGACCUGAGGAAGAGCCUGAGCUUGUGUCUGGCAGAAACCUGGCAGUAGGAGUGCAGCGCAGCCGUCCAUGGGCAUCUGAUGUCCUGUUCCCCCAGGUUCAUGGGUAAAAGCCUCUGGGAGCCAGGAUAGCUGCAGGAUGCCAUGGGACACGUGGCUCUGAAGAGACCAGGUCAAGUCAUGCUGGGCUUGAUAGCUGUCCCAGCAGGCUGGUCCAUGGGGCAGCUCUGGUCAGAGCCUGCACCUCAGCAGUGACCCCCAGGCUGUGUUAGCUGGGGUAUCUUGCUGUCCAGGGUCUAAAUGUGGUCAAGCAUUCUAUAAAGGAAAGAUCAAAUUGUGCGGUUUCAUCAUCUGAAAGUAGGGAAAAAAGGGAAUGUAAUGAAAAAUGGGGAAAUUAGUCUUGGUGCAUGUGUGGGUCAGUCUGCUUUUUUGUUUUCAACCACUUAAUUAGAAAAGGACACAUUAAAAUUGUUUAAUGAUUCCAAGACAAUGUAUUCUUCUGUGUUCAGGGGAAGUUGGGAGAAGUUCAGGUGACAAGUAAAAUUUGAGUUGUACCUGUGUAGCUGUGACUGAAAUGGGAGGGUUCUGCCUUCUACAAGGUUCACAGAAAAACUCGUGUUAUUCCUCAAGAAUUUCCUGUGUAGGACACCUUCUGAGCACAGCUGAUGGAGUGGCUACCAGAUAGCACUCCCUGCUCAUCCCACACAAAGUCAUGUCAGGGAAUGAAUGGAUCAUUACUUCAAGCCUGUAACUGAUUAGCAGUGCUCCAGCUACAUGAAAUGGAAGUGUUAAGGUGCAACUCAUGCCAGGACUGUGGCAUGGUUAUGGAAGAGGUUUAUGCAGCCAAAAUAUUGGUGUAACUCCUUUUGGACUCAACAGGCUACCUAGCGGCUUAACCUGCUACUGAAGGUCAGGAGAACAUCAUUCAUCUUCUACAAUGCCUGUACAUCACCAGCUACACUUCUGGAGAUAUCCUGGAAAAUGAAAUUGUGAGAACAUUCCAAGCAGUUCAGUAGCAUUACUGUCUUUGACAAGAUUCUCUUGACAACACAAAAACCUUUGUGCACGUAUCACCAUAAUACCCAAUAAAAAUCAAAAGUCCCCCUUGGGACUGCUCUGCUGUGCACAGUAUUUCAGAUGGGCUGGCAAUAUGAGGAUUCAGCACUACAAUGAAAACUAACUCAUGGUUUCUCACCCACAUUUUCAGUUUAAGCAUUUUCUGUUACUUUGAAUGUUAUUUUCUUAUUUUGAAGAAAGGUUUCUCAUGUAGCCUCCUAAAAUAACACCUAGGCCUGGAAGAUGCUAAUCAUUGUACUUUACAUCCCUCUUUGGAUAAAAUAGGUUAUUCUCCAAGUCAGUGUUCCUGGUUUAGUAAGUCACAAAAGUAAAAACAUUUUCUUCUUUAUAGUUCUCACUGGAAUUACACUGUGAGAACCAUAGUUGCAUAUAAUUGUUAAGACAAUUGUUAAGACUGUGCAAGACUGGUUGAUUACAGGAUCAGACAGUAUGCUCAGAGCAUUAGGUUUUCCCCAAUAUAAGAACCUUUACUCAAAUUAGAAGUGGACUUCAGCAGGCGGUGCUAGCCCUUGAAACCAGGCUCUGUGUCAUCCACCACACUGCUGUGGUUUGGUCUAAGCCUUCUACACUGGAGUGCUGCGAGGAGUUACCACGUGCCAACAGCAUCAUUUCCUGAUGGAGACACAAUCAGAAAGUAUAAGAAAAGAAGAGCAUCUCCCUGAUGGAAAAACAUUAAGAAGAUUAGUGUCUGCUUUAGAAAUGAUCAAUAUGAAAAGGUAAGCAUGUUGUUUUGAUUAGAGAGCAAGACCUAGGAAAAACAGCAAGAAGAAUAAAAGAGUGAAGAAAACUGCAGAAGGAAAGGAGAAGAAAUUUUGGUUUGUCACUGCAGAGGGCUUUUAUUCUCAUUAGUUUUAGGAUUUAGUAUUGUUUUCAGCUAUGAAGAGUAAUUCAGAUUAUGCUGAUCUUAUAUCACUGAGACAAGGAGCUGGACAGAUUCUGCAGAAGAGAAGUGUGUGACUCAUGGAAAGAGUAGCUAGUGAAGAACUUGCUCAACUUGAACUCUAGCUUAUAGGGAUUUUAUUUACCCCUGGGGGAGGGUUAGGGUUUCCAGCUUGGCAUAGAGCUAAACUACUUUACCAGUGAGAGAGAACUUGAGGCCUCAUUUGUCGAGAAGAUAAGCUUUCAUGACACAGGCUAACAUGUACUGAAGAUUAUUGCACAGCCAGAGAGGAAAAAGAUGCUUUAAACAAUGGGGAUUUUUAGCUGUGAAAAUCAGUUAAUGAAGAAUUCAACAUGUAUGCCUAACUCGAUGGUCACAUGAACUCAUUUUCAUUCAAUACACAAGACAAACCAUCAAACAUUUAUUUACAGUAGGCACACUUAACAAAGAAUAAGGAGAAAUUCUCCCUGCUUUAAGGAUCCAUUCCUAGGAGCUCUUUCAACAAUAUGAUACCCAUAUUCUCCUUAACAAAAUGCUCCUUAGAGAAUUCACUCAAAACUAUUUUACUAUUUUUAUUUGUAAUGUGAAUAAUAAGCUAUCUGUCUGGUGACAUCAUUAUGGGUACUUGAAAAAAAUUGGCUGUGGAAGCAUUUGGAAAGGGUUAUAUGCUAGAAAAUUAGUUGCUAAAGAGGUUUGUUUAUUUUAAAUGCAAAUUGAGCCUCAGCUCAUCUGUAAAAAACAAGUUUUAAAAAAAAGGACAAAACCCCCCUACUUCCCUGAUGUGCUGAUCAGAGCUCUUAAUAGCAACCUAAAACAUGCAUAAGUUAAGAAAACUCCCCAGUUUUUCUAGAGCAGGGUAGAACCUAAUCCUCAGGCACAGCCUGCCUGAAAAGUUGCAGAUCACAGAGACAAGAUGAAAUUUGGAUGUGGAGUCAAAACAAACACUUUUAAUAGGUGAGUUAUAAUAUGGAUCCUCUUUUUUUUUUCCCUUUACAAGCCCUACAUCAAAUUGUGAGGAAAUACUGAAGCAGCUUGUGUUAAUAUUUUCUUCUGCAUAACUAUUUGUAAAAAGACUUUUUCUACCUAAUUGUAUUGUCAAGUAACUGAGACCCUCUCUGCAAUGAAGAUGAAUCCUAAAUUCUUUCAGAGGGAAAAAGCCCACCUCAUUUUAAGACUAAGAAAGCCUAAGAAAAGGUGGCAGGUGUGAAAGUUCAAUUUAUUAACUGUAUCUUUGAGAAGAGCUAAAUCAAUUGGUAUAAAUCUAUUCUAGUCUUUGAAAGAUACAUGAUAGUAGAUGACAAGACUGGAGAGCUGUACAAUUUUGGCUCAGAAAAGCUGCUUUAAAUGCUGAAACACUGAAGACAAAAAUGCCGUAGUACUUGAUGAGUUGAACUGUAAAGAAUCACAAGAGAUUCCUGCAGACCCUAAAAAUGUUAUGUAUUGUAUCUUUCACAAAACUGGCAAACACUCAAAAAAACCACUGGUGGUUUUGCCAGUCAGCACUAAGAACUUACAUAUGGCCUUCGUUCAGGUUUCCUUGACUGGGGAGGCUUUCCUCUCAGUUUAAAUUGUUGGCAGUCAUAAUUUCUGAUUUUCAUAAUUGCAGUUGCCUUUAAAUCAACUCUGGAAAUCAUCAAACUUACAGUCCUGGAGCAGAAUCCUGAUCCUUGUCAGCCAUGGCUACAACCCUACAGAAAAUGAGGGGCAGCAAAGGAAUGCUGAUGUGUGGCGCUGAAGGACUCUCUGCUUGCUGCUGGCGUGCCCCGGAGUUUCCCGGCGAUGCGUGCACCCCACCAGGCGCGCACAUCGGAGCGCUCAGCCCGCAGGAUGCUCACAGCCCCGCCCUGCCGGGACACGGGGACAGCCCCGCCGGGAGCAGGGAGGCACCGAAGGCUCGGGCUGCCCCUCGGGGCUGCGCUCCGUGGCUCGGGCACGGCAGGGUCUGCCCCAGCCCGGUGGCGAGGCCGUGCCGGGCACGGAGCACAAGCCCUCUGCUGUUUAGAUGCAUCUGCCUCUGCUUCAGGGAGGCAAGGUGAAUUACGAUGGCAGGUUUGAAACAAUCUGACGGUCAUAGAGGCUUGUUUUAAAUACAGCUGUUAAGGGAGGAUGAAAAAUUACGAUUUUCAUAAUCAUGCCGGUUUUUUGUUAAGCUCAGGUGAACACUGCAAAACUGACUAUAACCUGAGAAAGAUUCUAGUCAAGUAUCGCUCACAUCACUUUGAUCUGGCUAAUUAGAGACCAUGUUUUGAUUAUCUGGUGCAGUCAGCUCCUAGCAGGCCCUUCUUGGCUGAGCCUCUUUGCUAUAAGACCAGACUGAAUUUGUAUUUUCUCAGCGCAGGUGCUGGGCUGGUGUGUGUCUCU